RNAcentral lists this ribosomal RNA (478 nucleotides) under uncultured bacterium. RNAcentral describes it as "partial 16S ribosomal RNA". It matches the Rfam family "Bacterial small subunit ribosomal RNA", at positions 28 to 507 of the family's 1533-position model. The record is from RNAcentral.
GAUGAACGCUGGCGGCGUGCUUAACACAUGCAAGUCGAACGGGAAUUAUUUUAUUGAAACUUCGGUCGAUUUAAUUUAAUUCUAGUGGCGGACGGGUGAGUAACGCGUGGGUAACCUGCCUUAUACAGGGGGGUAACAGUCAGAAAUGGCUGCUAAUACCGCAUAAGCGCACAGAGCUGCAUGGCUCAGUGUGAAAAACUCCGGUGGUAUAAGAUGGACCCGCGUUGGAUUAGCUGGUUGGUGGGGUAACGGCCCACCAAGGCGACGAUCCAUAGCCGGCCUGAGAGGGUGAACGGCCACAUUGGGACUGAGACACGGCCCAGACUCCUACGGGAGGCAGCAGUGGGGAAUAUUGCACAAUGGGGGAAACCCUGAUGCAGCGACGCCGCGUGAAGGAAGAAGUAUCUCGGUAUGUAAACUUCUAUCAGCAGGGAAGAUAGUGACGGUACCUGACUAAGAAGCCCCGGCUAACUACGUG